UGGGGAAUUUUGCGCAAUGGGCGAAAGCCUGACGCAGCAACGCCGCGUGAGUGAUGAAGGUCUUCGGAUCGUAAAGCUCUUUCGGCUGGGACGAAAACCGGUUGGUUAAUAGCCAACCGCUUGACGGUACCGGAAGAAGAAGCACCGGCUAACUCUGUGCCAGCAGCCGCGGUAAUACAGAGGGUGCAAGCGUUGUUCGGAAUUAUUGGGCGUAAAGCGCGUGUAGGCGGCAGAGCAUGUCGGGUGUGAAAGCCCUCGGCUUAACCGAGGAAGUGCGCCCGAAACUGCUCCGCUGGAGUGCUGGAGAGGGUAGCGGAAUUCCCGGUGUAGAGGUGAAAUUCGUAGAUAUCGGGAGGAACACCAGUGGCGAAGGCGGCUACCUGGACAGACACUGACGCUGAGACGCGAAAGCGUGGGGAGCAAACAGG
This 428-nucleotide ribosomal RNA is filed under the name uncultured bacterium. Its description in RNAcentral is "bacterial SSU rRNA". It matches the Rfam family "Bacterial small subunit ribosomal RNA", at positions 355 to 776 of the family's 1533-position model. The record is from RNAcentral.